GCCCAGGUAGCUCAGGGGUAGAGCACUUCCUUGGUAAGGAAGAGGUCUCGGGUUCAAUUCCCGAUCUGGGCU
Molecule: transfer RNA, 72 nt
Filed under: Fibrobacter sp.
Lineage: Bacteria; Pseudomonadati; Fibrobacterota; Fibrobacteria; Fibrobacterales; Fibrobacteraceae
Also listed under: 2 other names
Description: tRNA-Thr
Rfam family: tRNA
About the family: Transfer RNA (tRNA) molecules are approximately 80 nucleotides in length. Their secondary structure includes four short double-helical elements and three loops (D, anti-codon, and T loops). Further hydrogen bonds mediate the characteristic L-shaped molecular structure. tRNAs have two regions of fundamental functional importance: the anti-codon, which is responsible for specific mRNA codon recognition, and the 3' end, to which the tRNAs corresponding amino acid is attached (by aminoacyl-tRNA synthetases). tRNAs cope with the degeneracy of the genetic code in two manners: having more than one tRNA (with a specific anti-codon) for a particular amino acid; and 'wobble' base-pairing, i.e. permitting non-standard base-pairing at the 3rd anti-codon position.
Source: RNAcentral